AGACGUUCUCAGGGCGGGGUGAAAUUCUCCACCGGCGGUAUUGGCGGAUUUCUCCGCCUCAGCCCGCGAGCGCCUUCCGGAUUUCGGUUCGGAAGGGACAAGCAGAUCCGGUGAGACUCCGGAGCCGACGGUUAGAGUCCGGAUGGAAGAGAACGCAG
RNAcentral lists this non-coding RNA (158 nucleotides) under Gluconobacter oxydans. Its description in RNAcentral is "FMN sequence". It matches the Rfam family "FMN riboswitch aptamer (RFN element)". Rfam says of the family: The RFN element is a highly conserved domain that is found frequently in the 5'-untranslated regions of prokaryotic mRNAs that encode for flavin mononucleotide (FMN) biosynthesis and transport proteins. This element is a metabolite-dependent riboswitch that directly binds FMN in the absence of proteins. In Bacillus subtilis, the riboswitch most likely controls gene expression by causing premature transcription termination within the 5' untranslated region of the ribDEAHT operon and precluding access to the ribosome-binding site of ypaA mRNA. RNAcentral also lists the same sequence under 1 other name. The record is from RNAcentral. Lineage: Bacteria; Pseudomonadati; Pseudomonadota; Alphaproteobacteria; Acetobacterales; Acetobacteraceae.